AGUCACUGACAUUAGAUACCCCCUGUAGUCCAGGGUGUAAACGCUGCAGACUUGGUGUUGGAGGCCCUUUGGGGGCAUUCAGUGCCGGAGAGAAGUUGUUAAGUCUGCUACUUGGGGAGUACGUCCGCAAGGAUGAAACUUAAAGGAAUUGGCGGGGGAGCACCGCAACGGGAGGAGCGUGCGGUUUAAUUGGAUUCAACACCGUAAAACUCACCAGGGAAGACUGUUACAUGAAGGCCGAGAUGAAGACUCUGCUAGAUUUUCAG
This 266-nucleotide ribosomal RNA is filed under the name uncultured archaeon. Its description in RNAcentral is "partial 16S ribosomal RNA". It matches the Rfam family "Archaeal small subunit ribosomal RNA", at positions 718 to 982 of the family's 1478-position model. The record is from RNAcentral.